This 81-nucleotide transfer RNA is filed under the name Daphnia pulex (common water flea). It matches the Rfam family "tRNA". From Rfam's summary of the family: Transfer RNA (tRNA) molecules are approximately 80 nucleotides in length. Their secondary structure includes four short double-helical elements and three loops (D, anti-codon, and T loops). The record is from Rfam by way of RNAcentral. Lineage: Eukaryota; Metazoa; Arthropoda; Branchiopoda; Diplostraca; Daphniidae.
GAAGAUGUGACCUAGUGGUUAAGGCGACUGACUAGAAAUUAGUUUCCCUCUGGGAGCGUAGGUCGAAUCCUACCAUCUGCG